ACGACUCUCGGCAACGGAUAUCUCGGCUCUCGCAUCGAUGAAGAACGUAGCGAAAUGCGAUACUUGGUGUGAAUUGCAGAAUCCCGGGAACCAUCGAGUCUUUGAACGCAAGUUGCGCCCGAAGCCACUAGGCCGAGGGCACGUCUGCCUGGGUGUCA
RNAcentral lists this ribosomal RNA (158 nucleotides) under Senna occidentalis (coffee senna). RNAcentral describes it as "5.8S ribosomal RNA". It matches the Rfam family "5.8S ribosomal RNA". From Rfam's summary of the family: 5.8S ribosomal RNA (5.8S rRNA) is a component of the large subunit of the eukaryotic ribosome. It is transcribed by RNA polymerase I as part of the 45S precursor that also contains 18S and 28S rRNA. Lineage: Eukaryota; Viridiplantae; Streptophyta; Magnoliopsida; Fabales; Fabaceae. The record is from RNAcentral.